AACGAACGCUGGCGGCAGGCCUAACACAUGCAAGUCGAACGCUCCGCAAGGGGAGUGGCGCACGGGUGAGUAACACGUGGGAACCUACCUUCUGGUACGGAACAACCAAGGGAAACUUUGGCUAAGACCGUAUACGACCUCCGGGUGAAAGAUUGAUCGCCGGAAGAGGGGCCCGCGUCCGAUUAGGUAGUUGGUGAGGUAACGGCUCACCAAGCCUUCGAUCGGUAGCUGGUCUGAGAGGAUGACCAGCCACACUGGGACUGAGACACGGCCCAGACUCCUACGGGAGGCAGCAGUGGGGAAUAUUGGACAAUGGGCGCAAGCUGAUCCAGCCAUGCCGCGUGAGUGAU
Molecule: ribosomal RNA, 350 nt
Filed under: uncultured bacterium
Lineage: Bacteria
Description: bacterial SSU rRNA
Rfam family: Bacterial small subunit ribosomal RNA
Source: RNAcentral